This is a long non-coding RNA of Hippoglossus stenolepis (Pacific halibut), 698 nucleotides long. RefSeq lists it as uncharacterized. The record is from RefSeq and is a predicted model, not a curated record. The transcript is spliced from 4 exons. NCBI's taxonomy places the organism in Eukaryota, Metazoa, Chordata, Actinopteri, Pleuronectiformes, Pleuronectidae.
CUGUAAGGGAGGGGAGGGGCUUAUUUGAAUUUCUGUCGGUAACAAGUUGGGACAUGUUCUGUGUGAGGAGUCCGUUGCUGCUGCGUCAGACAGGAGAACUUGACCUGUGAGAACUGUGAGAGCUUGGAAGCAUCAACACCAAGUGGAAUGGUUUACUUGGAGUUCAAAAGGUUUGGGGGCAAGAACCUCAAGCAGAAAUUCUAUGAAGGUGUUGAUGGGCACAGUCCUGCUCGUAUUCAAAUAUUUUGAUCCAAUAGAGGGAAGGUUGGGCAGCUAUUCACAGUUCUCACAAGAUACCAAGAGCUGAUAUCCACACGGAGGCCUUCCCAUUAUUCUUGGGAGACAACCCGACAGACUUCUUCACUUCUACUUCUUGACUCUGAUGAUGACUCCUUCCACCAUAUUGAUAUUAGGAUCCUCCUUGUUGAGCAUGAAAGUGCUGUGCUCUCGUCUUCCCUGCAUCUCAGUUCAGCCUCAAUGAAGAUCAUCAUCGAGGGAGAAGUUUUGAUGGGCCUGCCGAAGGCUGUGUAUUCUGUUUGGACUAGCAUACUUAUUUUAUUACCCUAAGUCUGUGACGUUCACAAAUGGUGCUAGUUCUUGUGUGUCUUUACUUUUCUUUAGAUUGACAAGCUUUUUUACUGCUGUGAUAAAAUAUUUAAAUGGUUUUGUGAACAAUAAAAUGCAUUUGAGAAUUUAAA